This 253-nucleotide ribosomal RNA is filed under the name uncultured bacterium. RNAcentral's name for it is "partial 16S ribosomal RNA". It matches the Rfam family "Bacterial small subunit ribosomal RNA", at positions 524 to 776 of the family's 1533-position model. The record is from RNAcentral.
UACGUAGGGUGCGAGCGUUAAUCGGAAUUACUGGGCGUAAAGCGUGCGCAGGCGGUGAUGUAAGACAGGUGUGAAAUCCCCGGGCUUAACCUGGGAACUGCAUUUGAUACUCUAGAGCUUGAGUACGGGAGAGGAGAGUGGAAUUCCCAGUGUAGAGGUGAAAUUCGUAGAUAUUGGGAAGAACACCGGUGGCGAAGGCGGCUCUCUGGGCCGAUACUGACGCUGAGGAGCGAAAGCGUGGGGAGCGAACAGG